UAACCUGCCCAAGAGAUCGGGAUAACACCUGGAAACAGAUGCUAAUACCGGAUAACAACAGAUGAUGCCUAUCAACUGUUUAAAAGAUGGUUCUGCUAUCACUCUUGGAUGGACCUGCGGUGCAUUAGCUAGUUGGUAGGGUAACGGCCUACCAAGGCGAUGAUGCAUAGCCGAGUUGAGAGACUGAUCGGCUACAUUGGGACUGAGACACGGCCCAAACUCCUACGGGAGGCAGCAGGC
This 240-nucleotide ribosomal RNA is filed under the name uncultured Lactobacillus sp. RNAcentral's name for it is "partial 16S ribosomal RNA". It matches the Rfam family "Bacterial small subunit ribosomal RNA", at positions 122 to 354 of the family's 1533-position model. The record is from RNAcentral. Lineage: Bacteria; Bacillati; Bacillota; Bacilli; Lactobacillales; Lactobacillaceae.